Long non-coding RNA from Leptonychotes weddellii (Weddell seal), 991 nucleotides. RefSeq lists it as uncharacterized. NCBI's taxonomy places the organism in Eukaryota, Metazoa, Chordata, Mammalia, Carnivora, Phocidae. The record is from RefSeq and is a predicted model, not a curated record.
GGCUGCAGCAGCGGGAGCAGAGAGAUGCAGUGUCGCUGGCUGCGAAGGUGGAGAAAGGGGACCACGGAGCCCAGGAACUCAGGCAGCUUCUAGAAGCUGGAAGAGAUUUUCAAAGCAAAAACAGAGUUGGAAUCUUGGCAGCACUGGACAAAGGGAAAAGAAAAUUACGAACUGGUCUUGGCAGAACUGGGCAGAGAGAAAAGGCAAUUGCUAGUGCAGAGCCCCGCUUCAAGGCAGCCUGGAGCUGCAGUGGGCAUUGCCCUCCCGGGACCCUCUCUUCCUAAGGACUUCGGGUCGGGGCUGAGCAGCAGCAUUCUGCAGCCCUGCGAAGGGCGCCUUGGUGCGCACACCACUGUCUGGGUAGCUCGCAGCUCGAGACUGCAGUUGGCAGGCUUAUUCUUCCCGUCUUCCCUCGCCUUGACCCAGAGUGGAGAAAAUAUUUUACUGAAAAGUGACUUUGUAAUGUCAAAGGCCAAAGCUCCUAUCAUUCAGUGUGGUACAAACUGGGACUUUCAGAAUUUUGGUGAACUUGUAUAUUUUGUGCUUCUUUAAAAGAAGGGUACGGGUAAAAAAUGAUGUGAGAUCCUUUGUGGGGUAAGGGAAGGACGAUCAUCCCUUCCAUCUUCCUAACAACCCUGAGGCAGGUGUCCCCAUCUCCAAAGUACAGGUGAGUCUGAUAGCACACUUCCUAUUUCCUCAUGAAGGACGCAUGGAGGAAAGGUGUGGGCUGCUCUGUUUGAACUGUCAGGCAAGGAACGAAAGCUGGUAGCUUCAGAACCAGGAGAAACACAAAUACAUCUUCGCAUCAUGACUUUUUAAAACACAUCAAGUGACACCUUUUAAACCAAUGACAAUGGUUUCUACUCCUGUUUCUAACCCAAUUCCUCUUUGGGAAUUUGCUCUUCAAACCCCAGCAUGACUUUCUGUGAAACUCCUAAUAAAUCAUUCAGUUUUGCCUUGAAGCUGCUGAAUAACUUGGACUAAUGUGAAA